AAACUCCCAACCCUUUGUGAACUUACCGUAGUUGCUUCGGCGGGCUGCGGCUACCCUGUACUUACCCUGUAGCAGCUACCCUGCAGUUGGCUACCCUGUAGGUUACCUGGUUGCUUGCGAUAAGGCCCGUCAGAGGACCACUAAACUCUUGUUACCCUGUACCAAUCUCUGAAUGCGUAAACUUAAUAAGUUAAAACUUUCAACAACGGAUCUCUUGGUUCUGGCAUCGAUGAAGAACGCAGCGAAAUGCGAUAAUUAAUGUGAAUUGCAGAAUUUAGUGAAUCAUCGAAUCUUUGAACGCACAUUGCGCCCAUUAGUAUUCUAGUGGGCAUGCCUAUUCGAGCGUCAUUUCAACCCUUAAGCCCUGUAGCUUAGCGUUGGGAAUCCGUGGCUUACGGCGCGGUUCCCCAAAGUUAGUGGCGGAGUUAGUGCAUACUCUUAGCGUAGUAAUUCUUCUCGCUCACGUAGUAUGUCUAACCACCUGCCGUAAAAGACCCUAAUUUUCUAAUGGUUGACCUCGGAUUAGGUAGGAAUACCCGCUGAACUUAAGCAUAUCAAUAAGCGGAGGAAAAGAAACCAACAGGGAUUGCCCUAGUAACGGCGAGUGAAGCGGCAACAGCUCAAAUUUGAAAUCUGGCCCUAGCGGUCCGAGUUGUAAUUUGUAGAGGAUGCUUUUGGUGAGGUGCCUUCCGAGUUCCCUGGAACGGGACGCCGGAGAGGGUGAGAGCCCCGUACGGUUGGACGCCUAGCCUCUGUAUAGCUCCUUCGACGAGUCGAGUAGUUUGGGAAUGCUGCUCUAAACGGGAGGUAAAUUUCUUCUAAAGCUAAAUACCGGCCAGAGACCGAUAGCGCACAAGUAGAGUGAUCGAAAGAUGAAAAGCACUUUGAAAAGAGGGUUAAAUAGCACGUGAAAUUGUUGAAAGGGAAGCGUUUGCGACCAGACUUUUUCCAGGCGGAUCAUCCGGUGUUUAGGCCGGUGCACUUCGCCUGGUUUAGGCCAGCAUCGGUUCUCUUAGGGGGAUAAAGGCUUAGGGCAUGUGGCUCCAUCUGGAGUGUUAUAGCCCUUUGCGUAAUACCCUUCGGGGGACCGAGGAACGC
Molecule: ribosomal RNA, 1098 nt
Filed under: Xylariaceae sp. P10541PD1CC1018
Lineage: Eukaryota; Fungi; Ascomycota; Sordariomycetes; Xylariales; Xylariaceae
Description: eukaryotic LSU rRNA
Rfam family: Eukaryotic large subunit ribosomal RNA (bases 513-1098)
Source: RNAcentral